RNAcentral lists this ribosomal RNA (71 nucleotides) under Clostridioides difficile. RNAcentral's name for it is "partial 16S ribosomal RNA". The stretch from base 1 to 59 matches the Rfam family "Bacterial small subunit ribosomal RNA", at positions 1475 to 1533 of the family's 1533-position model. Lineage: Bacteria; Bacillati; Bacillota; Clostridia; Peptostreptococcales; Peptostreptococcaceae. The record is from RNAcentral.
CUGGGGUGAAGUCGUAACAAGGUAGCCGUAUCGGAAGGUGCGGCUGGAACACCUCCUUUCUAAGGAGAAUU